Molecule: long non-coding RNA, 952 nt
Organism: Mobula hypostoma (lesser devil ray)
Lineage: Eukaryota; Metazoa; Chordata; Chondrichthyes; Myliobatiformes; Myliobatidae
Exons: 3
Source: RefSeq, a predicted model, not a curated record
CGCCCUUCGCCGGCUCCCACCAACCAUUGGCACCCGCCGAAAGUCUGGCCUCUGCCAUUGGCUGCGAAACAUUUUGCGGAGGGAAGAGAAUUAGAUUCUCUGCAGAAGACCUGCAGGAUUGAAUAAAGGUAUAUUGAAUAAUGGAUACAUCGCGACUGACAUCAAAUGCAGUUGGCAGAUGAACAUGGUGAAAGACGCCCUUCGGUCUGCAACGCAUCAAAUGUCCAAAGGAGAAUGCUGCCGACUGACACAUUCCAGACUGCGCGGGCACAGGUAAUCCUGGACCAGAGGUCCAUGAGGCAGUACUCAUCGGAGGAUCAGAGGUGGAGAGGUUCAAUUACUUCAAAUUCCUGGGUGUCACUAUCUCAGAGGACCUAUCCUGAACCUAUAAUAUAAGUGUAAUUGCAAAGAAAGCACGACAGCGCCUCUACUUCCUGAGCAGUCCAUGGAAAUUUGGCAUGUCUUCAAAAUCCUUGGCAAAUUUCUAUAGUUGCCCGGUGGAAAGUGUGCAUUACAGCCUGGUAUGGGAACAUCAAAGCCUUUGAAAACCACUUCAAAAGGUAGUGGACUCAGCUCAGUACAUUACAGGUAAAGCCCUCCCAACCAUUGAGCACAACUCUAUGAAACCUUCUCAUAGAAAAGCAGCAUCCAUCAUCAAAGAUCCUUACCAUCUACGUCAUGCUCUCUUCUCGCUGCUGCCAUCAGGUAGAAGGUACAAGCGCCUCAGGACGCAGACCACAAGUUCAAGAACAGUUACUACCGCUCUUGAACAAAAGACGAUCACUACACUCAUCUAUUUCUGGUGUUCCCACAACCAAUGAUCUCACUUUAAGGACUCUUUAUCUUGUUAUUUCAUGCUCUCAUUAUUUAUUACUAUUUAUUUACAUUUGCAUUUGCACGGUGUGUUGUUCAUUGAUCCUGUUUACAGUUACUAUUCUAUAGAUAUGCUGAA